GCCAGGUGUGGUGGCGCGUGCCUGUAAUCCCAGCUAUUUGGGAGGCUGAGGCAGGAGAAUCACUUGAACCCAGGAGGUGGAGGUUGCAGUUAGCUGAGAUUGCGCCACUGCAACCCAGCCUGGGUGACAGAGUGAGACUCUGUCUCAA
Molecule: unclassified non-coding RNA, 148 nt
Organism: Pongo abelii (Sumatran orangutan)
Lineage: Eukaryota; Metazoa; Chordata; Mammalia; Primates; Hominidae
Rfam family: Metazoan signal recognition particle RNA
About the family: The signal recognition particle (SRP) is a universally conserved ribonucleoprotein. It is involved in the co-translational targeting of proteins to membranes. The eukaryotic SRP consists of a 300-nucleotide 7S RNA and six proteins: SRPs 72, 68, 54, 19, 14, and 9.
Source: Ensembl